RNAcentral lists this ribosomal RNA (253 nucleotides) under uncultured bacterium. RNAcentral describes it as "partial 16S ribosomal RNA". It matches the Rfam family "Bacterial small subunit ribosomal RNA", at positions 524 to 776 of the family's 1533-position model. The record is from RNAcentral.
UCCGCCGGGGGCUCGCGUUGUUCGGAAUUACUGGGCGUAAAGGGCGCGUAGGCUGUGCUGUAAGUCAGGCGUGAAAUCCCCGGGCUCAACCUGGGAAUUGCGCAUGAUACUGCGGCGCUGGAAGACGGGAGAGGGUGGCGGAAUUCCCAGUGUAGAGGUGAAAUUCGUAGAUAGUGGGAAGAACACCGGUGGCGAAGGCGGCCAUCUGGCCCGUAUUUGACGCUGAGGCGCGAAAGCGUGGGGAGCAAACAGG